Molecule: unclassified non-coding RNA, 376 nt
Filed under: uncultured Acidobacteriota bacterium
Lineage: Bacteria; Pseudomonadati; Acidobacteriota
Description: uncultured Acidobacteria bacterium contains 16S-23S intergenic spacer region
Source: RNAcentral
UCCGGUUUGGCACCGGCAGUCUUCCUAGAGUCCCCGCCAUUACGCGCUGGCAACUAAGAACAGGGGUUGCGCUCGUUGCGGGACUUAACCCAACAUCUCACGACACGAGCUGACGACAACCAUGCACCACCUGUGCAGGACCCUUGCGGACCCGACGUUUCUGCCGGAUUUCCCUGCAUGUCAAGCCUUGGUAAGGUUCUUCGCGUUGCGUCGAAUUAAACCACAUGCUCCACCGCUUGUGCGGGUCCCCGUCAAUUCCUUUGGUUUUCAGUCUUGCGACCGUACUCCCCAGGCGGAAUGCUUAAAGCGUUAGCGACGGCACCCGGGGACUAUAAAACCCCAGACACCAAGCAUUCAUCGUUUAAGGCUAGGACUA